Molecule: unclassified non-coding RNA, 408 nt
Filed under: soil metagenome
Description: partial contains 5.8S ribosomal RNA, internal transcribed spacer 2, and large subunit ribosomal RNA
Rfam family: 5.8S ribosomal RNA (bases 1-120)
Source: RNAcentral
GAUGAAGAACGUAGCGAAAUGCGAUAAGUAAUGUGAAUUGCAGAAUUCAGUGAAUCAUCGAAUCUUUGAACGCACCUUGCGCUCCUUGGUAUUCCUUGGAGCAUGCCUGUUUGAGUAUCAUGAAAUUCUCAAAACAAACCUUUUGUUAAUUCAUUGGGUUCUGUUUUGGACUUGGAGGCCUUGCGGAUUCACGUCUGCUCCUCUUAAAAGCAUUAGCUGGAUCUCAGUGAGCUCGGUUCCACUCGGCGUGAUAAGUAUCACUCGCUGAGGACACACGUAAAAAAGGUGGCCGGGAUUUGCAGAUGAACCGCUUCUAAUAGUCCAUUGAAUUGGACAACAUACUUUAUGAUCUGAUCUCAAAUCAGGUAGGACUACCCGCUGAACUUAAGCAUAUCAAUAAGCGGAGGA